AAGGAUUUAAGUUAAUUAAACUCAUAGCCUUCAAAGCUAUAAAUAAAGCCUCUUUAAGCCUUA
Molecule: transfer RNA, 63 nt
Filed under: Staphylinidae sp. BMNH 1274705
Lineage: Eukaryota; Metazoa; Arthropoda; Insecta; Coleoptera; Staphylinidae
Description: tRNA-Trp
Source: RNAcentral